UGCUGGUUCUGAGUGAGACCUAGUGGUACAAACUGGGAUCCAAUGGGAGGUGCUGGUUCUGACAGGCUUAGUGGUACAAACUGGGAUCCAAUGGGAGGUGCUGGUUCUGAGUGAGACCUAGUGGUACAAACUGGGAUCCAAUGGGAGGUGCUGGUUCUGAGUGAGACCUAGUGGUACAAACUGGGAUCCAAUGGGAGGUGCUGGUUCUGACUGAGACCUACUGGGACUUGGUACAGACUGGGAUCCAAUGGGAGGUACUGGUACUGACUGAGGCUUGGUGGGAGCUAAUGGUACAAACUGGGCUCUAAUGGGAGGUACUGGUACUGACUGAGGCUUAGUGGGAGCUAAUGGUACAAACUGGGCUCUAAUGGGAGGUACUGGUACUGACUGAGGCUUAGUGGGAGCUAAUGGUACAAACUGGGCUCUAAUGGGAGGUACUGGUUCUGACUGAGGCUUAGUGGGAGCUAAUGGUACAAACUGGGCUCUAAUGGGAGGUACUGGUACUGACUGAGGCUUAGUGGGAGCUAAUGGUACAAACUGGGCUCUAAUGGGAGGUACUGGUACUGACUGAGGCUUAGUGGGAGCUAAUGGUACAAACUGGGCUCUAAUGGGAGGUACUGGUACUGACUGAGGCUUAGUGGGAGCUAAUGGUACAAACUGGGCUCUAAUGGGAGGUACUGGUACUGACUGAGGCUUAGUGGGAGCUAAUGGUACAAACUGGGCUCUAAUGGGAGGUACUGGUACUGACUGAGGCUUAGUGGGAGCUAAUGGUACAAACUGGGCUCUAAUGGGAGGUACUGGUUCUGACUGAGGCUUAGUGGGAGCUAAUGGUACAAACUGGGCUCUAAUGGGAGGUACUGGUUCUGACUGAGGCUUAGUGGGAGCUAAUGGUACAAACUGGGCUCUAAUGGGAGGUACUGGUACUGACUGAGGCUUAGUGGGAGCUAAUGGUACAAACUGGGCUCUAAUGGGAGGUACUGGUUCUGACUGAGGCUUAGUGGGAGCUAAUGGUACAAACUGGGCUCUAAUGGAGGUACUGGUUCUGACUGAGGCUUAGUGGGAGCUAAUGGUACAAACUGGGCUCUAAUGGGAGGUACUGGUACUGACUGAGGCUUAGUGGGAGCUAAUGGUACAAACUGGGCUCUAAUGGGAGGUACUGGUACUGACUGAGGCUUAGUGGGAGCUAAUGG
Long non-coding RNA from Xenopus tropicalis (tropical clawed frog), 1190 nucleotides. RefSeq lists it as uncharacterized. Lineage: Eukaryota; Metazoa; Chordata; Amphibia; Anura; Pipidae. The record is from RefSeq and is a predicted model, not a curated record. The transcript has 3 exons.